Molecule: non-coding RNA, 162 nt
Filed under: Hyphomicrobiaceae bacterium
Lineage: Bacteria; Pseudomonadati; Pseudomonadota; Alphaproteobacteria; Hyphomicrobiales; Hyphomicrobiaceae
Description: 6S RNA
Rfam family: 6S / SsrS RNA
About the family: E. coli 6S RNA was the first non coding RNA to be sequenced, but its function was unknown until recently. It consists of 184 nucleotides that fold into an extended hairpin structure with a large single-stranded internal bulge.
Source: RNAcentral
GCAGGGCUGCGGGGUGCGUCGUGGGCAUGAAACCCCGGGGCCUAUAAGAUCCGCAUGGGAGCUGUCCCUGACCGAGGUCGUGGCCUCGGACACACGGCGCCCACCUACGUUUCGUAGGGACCACGCGGGUUUAACCGCCCGCACGGCUCACGCGGCUCUGCC